Molecule: ribosomal RNA, 253 nt
Filed under: uncultured bacterium
Lineage: Bacteria
Description: partial 16S ribosomal RNA
Rfam family: Bacterial small subunit ribosomal RNA
Source: RNAcentral
UACGGAGGGUGCAAGCGUUGUUCGGAAUCACUGGGCUUAAAGCGCGUGUAGGCGGAGUGCUUAGUGCUUUGUGAAAGCCCCCGGCUCAACCGGGGAAUUGCUUGGCAAACGGGCAUUCUUGAGGCAAGUAGAGGUCACUGGAACGACUGGUGGAGCGGUGAAAUGCGUAGAUAUCAGUUGGAACGCCGGAGGCGAAAGCGGGUGACUGGGCUUGUCCUGACGCUGAGACGCGAAAGCGUGGGUAGCAAACAGG